GAAAUGCGAUAAGUAAUGUGAAUUGCAGAAUUCAGUGAAUCAUCGAAUCUUUGAACGCACAUUGCGCCUUUUGGUAUUCCGAAAGGCAUGCCUGUUCGAGCGUCAUUUAAACUCUCAAGCUUUGCUUGGUAUUGGGAGCCGCCCGCCAGGGCGGCCCCGCAACCUGUUGAGCGUGGCAUCGGGACUUCAAACGUAGCAGAAAAACUUUCGUUUAGUCGGCCCCGGCGUCUCCGCCAGACGAACCCCCCAACAUCACUUCAAGUUUGACCUCGGAUCAGGUAGGGAUACCCGCUGAACUUAA
This 301-nucleotide unclassified non-coding RNA is filed under the name uncultured Ascomycota. RNAcentral describes it as "sequence contains ITS1". The stretch from base 1 to 105 matches the Rfam family "5.8S ribosomal RNA", at positions 50 to 154 of the family's 154-position model. Lineage: Eukaryota; Fungi; Ascomycota. The record is from RNAcentral.